CGCCCUCCUCAACAGCCACCUGCGUCCUUCUCAAAGAAUUUCUCUGACGGCUCCCUCUGUGCUCUGAGGCUUCCAUCCUCUGCUCACAGUGAAAGAUGCUCUCCUAUGUCCUUGCUGCCUUCAUCUCCAGUUAAUAAUCACCAAAGCAGUACCCUGGCACAGGGGAGAUGGGCAGCUCCUGUGGUGCUGCAGCCUGCAAGUCACCCACUGUUUUUAAUAAUCACCAAAGCAGUACCCUGGCACAGGGGAGAUGGGCAGCUCCUGUGGUGCUGCAGCCUGCAAGUCACCCACUGUUUAGCUUUCCUCAAGAGAUGCUGAGCCCUGGCUUUUUCCCAUGGAGCUGUUCCCUUCUCAGUUUCUGGGGGAAUCCUUCUCCCCAAAGUGCAACUGAUGAUCCUGGGAUGGUAGUUGUCUGAUCCUCCACUAGGGAACACUUGGUCCCUGACUGAGGAUGGUCUUACAAUUAUGGAGUACAUAAAAAGGUAAAAAUCAUUAGUUUUAAUUGUUAUCUUUUUGGUGCUCAUUAUCAUUCCAAUGUGUGAAUGACUUCUUGCCUUUUCUCUAAGACCCAGGUGCAAGUCUAUAAGUUUGAGGAUGGAGAUGGAAACGAUGUGCAGGCCUCUGAGUCUCACACUGCAUGUCUGUUCAUUGUCUUCGGAGUGAUAAGAGUGCAAGAAACCAUAGAAUGAGCUGGUGCAUCGCUUUGGUCGUGUACACGAGGGAAAGGCUUGUACAGAGAGGUCCCUGACUUACAUGCAAAUUAAAAUGAAUCCAGGCACUUUGUGGACUGAAACAGAGAAUUUUCAUGGUUUUCCCUUCCAUCAAAAGUCAGCAAUUUUAAAAGAAAUUUCUCCCAUGCAGAGGGCUGCUUUGAGCCAGUUUGUUUGAAUAUUAGAGUAGAACAUGUGCUAACUUUAAUAUUGGCAAUCGAGGGGAAAAUUGGGAGACCAGAUCCUUGCUUAAUAAUCUUACGCACAACUAAAGCAGCAAGCAAAACUAUCUGGUUUAGGACGGUGUUUUGGCUUUGUACACCUUCAUGUUUCAAUUUAAUCUUGUGUACUUCUUUACCAAUUAAAACAUUCAGAGAAGACAGUUUAGUGGCCAAGGGAAGAGCGUCAGCCCCACCAGAAGCCCUUUCUUCCUGCUGCAUCACUAAGCAGUUGUGACUCAAGGGAAAAAUUCAGUGUCUCAGUCUUUCAUCAAUAGAGAAAUGUAUUAAAAAAAAGACAGGAGUUCUGAGUACUGACACUGCUUACCUCUCAGAAUUGUUAGGUCAAACUGCACAGAAGAUGUGGAGUAUGACGUCUGUGGUGAGGAGAUGGAGCCCAAAGCCUAGAAUUCAGCAGUUGAAGGCUUUUUGGUGGCUGAAGCCAGAGAUGAAUUUUCCUUGAAGAAGUCUCAUUUCUUUUUUUUUUUUUUUAAUUUUUUAUUUAAAGAAAAGGAAACGAAAGAAUACAUGGAGAUUUUAAAAAAGGGUAGAAAUGAUACAAACUUACAGAAAAACAAACGGUAAGAAAUUGCUGGUUGAUAAGUUACACAUUGUCAUCUUGGAAGUAGCUGUUCAUGUUAUGGAAUUAAAGCAUUUAGAAUGACAUUCAUAAAGUGAC
Molecule: long non-coding RNA, 1607 nt
Organism: Cavia porcellus (domestic guinea pig)
Lineage: Eukaryota; Metazoa; Chordata; Mammalia; Rodentia; Caviidae
Source: Ensembl